This 583-nucleotide ribosomal RNA is filed under the name Trechus sp. 4 AF-2013. RNAcentral describes it as "partial 16S ribosomal RNA". The stretch from base 343 to 501 matches the Rfam family "Bacterial large subunit ribosomal RNA", at positions 2473 to 2632 of the family's 2925-position model. The record is from RNAcentral. Lineage: Eukaryota; Metazoa; Arthropoda; Insecta; Coleoptera; Carabidae.
AAUGGCUGCAGUAAUUUGACUGUACAAAGGUAGCAUAAUCAUUAGUUUUUUAAUUAAAAGCUUGUAUGAAAGGUUGGACGAAAUAAAUUCUGUCUCUUUUUAAUAAAAUUAGAAUUUAAUUUUUAAGUUAAAAAGCUUAAAUAUUUAUAAAAGACGAGAAGACCCUAUAGAGUUUUAUAAUUUAAAUUUAUUAAUUAAUUUAGAUUUAUUAAUUUUAUUUUUUUUAAAUUAUUUUAUUGGGGUAAUAGAAAGAUUAAAAAAAUUCUUUUUUUUAUAAAAUCAUUAAUUUAUGAAAAUUUUAUGAUCCAUUAGAUUUUGAAUAUAAGAUUAAAUUACCUUAGGGAUAACAGCGUAAUUUUUUUUAAGAGUUCAUAUCGAUAAAAAAGUUUGCGACCUCGAUGUUGGAUUAAAGAUUAAUUUAGGUGUAGAAGUUUAAAUUUUUGGUCUGUUCGACCAUUGAAUCUUUACAUGAUCUGAGUUCAAACCGGUGUAAGCCAGGUUGGUUUCUAUCUUUAUUAAAAUUUUAUAUUUCAGUACGAAAGGACCAAUUAUAUUAUAUAUUUAUAUUUAAAUUAUUGAAUAU